UGCAGUCAUACGAGAGUUUUUAACUCAAGUGGCGGACGGGUGAGUAACACGUAAGAAUUUGCCUUUAGGAGGGGGAUAACAACUGGAAACGGUUGCUAAUACCCCAUAUGCUUUUUAGUGAAAUGGAUUUUUCCGCCUAGAGAGAAGCUUGCGCCUGAUUAGCUUGUUGGUGAGGUAAUGGCUCACCAAGGCGACGAUCAGUAUCUGGUUUGAAAGGACGAUCAGACACACUGGAACUGAGACACGGUCCAGACUCCUACGGGAGGCAGCAGUGGGGAAUUUUCCGCAAUGGGCGAAAGCCUGACGGAGCAAUCUCGCGUGAGGGAUGACGGCCUAUGGGUUGUAAACCUCUUUUUUCAGGGAGGAAUAAAUGACGUGUACCUGAAGAAUAAGCAUCGGCUAACUCCGUGCCAGCAGCCGCGGUAAGACGGAGGAUGCAAGUGUUAUCCGGAAUCACUGGGCGUAAAGCGUCUGUAGGUGGUUUAAUAAGUCAACUGUUAAAUCUUGAGGCUUAACUUCAAAAUCGCAGUCGAAACUAUUAGACUAGAGUAUAGUAAGGGUAAAGGGAAUUUCCAGUGGAGCGGUGAAAUGCGUAGAGAUUGGAAAGAACACCGAUGGCGAAGGCACUUUACUGGGCUAUUACUGACACUCAGAGACGAAAGCUAGGGUAGCAAAUGGGAUUAGAUACCCCAGUAGUCCUAGCCGUAAACAAUGGAUACUAGAUGUUGAACAGAUCGGCCUGUGCAGUAUUAAAGCUAACGCGUUAAGUAUCCCGCCUGGGNNGUAUGCUCGCAAGANUGAAACUCAAAGGAAUUGANNGGGCCCNCACAAGCGGNGGA
RNAcentral lists this ribosomal RNA (839 nucleotides) under uncultured bacterium. Its description in RNAcentral is "bacterial SSU rRNA". It matches the Rfam family "Bacterial small subunit ribosomal RNA", at positions 56 to 936 of the family's 1533-position model. The record is from RNAcentral.